CGAGCGAACAGGGAAGAGUCCAKCUACCGAAUGCCACGUCAUGCCGAVUCUGUCGUGAAUUGUGGUGUUUGGGAGGGUCCGCCAUCCCGCGGCCUUCGCGGCGAGUCCAAGUCCGACUUGAAUGAGGCCACGGCCCGUAGAGGGUGCCAGGCCCGUAGGACCGUCGCGGGUUGCGGGAGGACCUUUCCUUAGAGUCGGGUUGCUUGAGAGUGCAGCUCAAAGUGGGUGGUAAACUCCAUCUAAGGCUAAAUAWGBCACGAGACCGAUAGCGAACAAGUACCGUGAGGGAAAGGUGAAAAGAACUUUGAWGAGAGAGUUCAAAAGUACGUGAARCCGUUCUGGGGUAAACGUGAGAAGUCCGAAAGGUCGAACGGCGAGAUUCACGCCUAUCCGGGCCACCGGCCUCUACCUUCGGCAGAUGGGACCGGCCGCCCGCACGGUGCAUAGCCGUGGCGGGGUCGUGUUCGGUUACCUCCACUCGCCGCGAGGUGGAGCCGUUCCGGUGUGCGGUGGGCCGCACUUCUCCCCUAUAGGACGUCGCGACCCGCUGGGUGCCGGCCUAAGGCCUGGGUGCGCAGCCUGCRCUUCCGCACGUGUCUCCGGGCGCGUGUGCUCGUCGUGCAGAGCCCCRGUGUUCCCCGACCGGUGCCCGGCGGUAUCUGURAGGAGUUGAUUCGCCACAUUUUKUGUGGGCGYCCGGGCCCCCGGCAAGCGCGCGCGGUUCUUCUCGGAUGACGGUCCUACCGGGCCCGGCUCCGAACCCGCGCCGCUGUUGGCUCGGGUGUGUUCUCDGGCGGAAUAAUCGCUCYCGUCAGCGGCGCUUCAGCUUUGGACAAUUUCACGACCCGUCUUGAAACACGGACCAAGGAGUCUAACAUGUGCGCGAGUUAUUGGGCUUUACUAAACCCAUAGGCGCAAUGAAAGUGAAGGUUACGCCUCGCGCGGACCGAGGGAAGACGGGGGUUGUGCCGCGUGCUUUUGCCCGAGGUUACGCCCUUUGCAUUCCCGGGGCGUCUCGUCCUCAUUGCGAGGUGAGGCGCACCUAGAGCGCACACGUUGGGACCCGAAAGAUGGUGACCUAUGCCUGGVCAGGACGAAGUCAGGGGAAACCCUGAUGGAGGUCCGUAGCGAUUCUGACGUGCAAAUCGAUCGUCGGAGCUGGGUAUAGCGGCRAAAGACUCAUCGAACUAUCUAGUAGCUGGUUCCCUCCGAAGUUUCCCUCAGGAUAGCUGGGGCUCAGAACGAGUCUCAUCCGGUAAAGCGAAUGAUUAGAGGCCUUGGGGCCGAAACGACCUCAACCUAUUCUCAAACUUUAAAUGGGUGAGAUCUCCGGCUUGCUUAAUUGAAGCCGCGAGAAUUUMUUUACGAUCGGAGUAGHCWAGURGGCCACUUUUUGUAAGCAGAACUGGCGYUGUGGAUGAACCAACGMCGAGWUAAGGCGCCCGAAUCGACGCUCAUGRGAAACCAUGAAAGGCGUUGGUUGCUUAUGACAUCAGSUCGGUGGCCAUGGAAGUCGGAAUCCGCUAAGGAGUGUGUAACAACUCAUCUGMCGAAGCARCUAGCCCUGAAAAUGGAYGGCGCUGAAGCGUCGUGCMUAUWCUCGGCCGUCAGUCCGGCAGUCUUGGUCGGCGGCCUGCGGUCGCCGKCCGCGAAACCCUGAYGAGUAGGAGGGWCGCGGCGGUGAGGCSCGGAAGGGUCUGGGCGUGAGCCUUKCCUGGAGCCGCCGUCGGYGCAGAUBUUGGUGGUAGUACCAAAUACUCCAGSGAGGCCCUGGAGGGGCYGAUGUGGAGAAGGGUUUCGUGGUGAACMGCCGUUGCACACGAGUCMGUCGUUCCUADUCCUAGGGAAAYCBGAAGUSGAUGGGGACCGUAUUGUCCCCUUCGAGUGGUAGGUCCCCGUUGGGCGAAAGGGAAUCCGGUUCCUAUUCCGGAACCCGGSARCGKAUACUCGAAWCAGAGUCGGGYCCCUSGAAAGAGAAGCUCGUCGGGGUAACCCAAAAGGACCCGGAGACGCCGUCGGGAGAUCGGGGAAGAGUUUUCUUUUCUGCAUGAGCGUUCGAGUUCCCUGGAAUCCUCUAGCAGGGAGAUAGGGUUUGGAACGCGAAGAGCACCGCAGUGAUUAACAUUGUUAAAAAAGU
Molecule: ribosomal RNA, 2137 nt
Filed under: Euparatettix nigritibis
Lineage: Eukaryota; Metazoa; Arthropoda; Insecta; Orthoptera; Tetrigidae
Description: partial 28S ribosomal RNA
Rfam family: Eukaryotic large subunit ribosomal RNA
Source: RNAcentral